RNAcentral lists this ribosomal RNA (428 nucleotides) under uncultured bacterium. RNAcentral describes it as "partial 16S ribosomal RNA". It matches the Rfam family "Bacterial small subunit ribosomal RNA", at positions 354 to 796 of the family's 1533-position model. The record is from RNAcentral.
GUGGGGAAUAUUGGGCAAUGGGCGAAAGCCUGACCCAGCAACGCCGCGUGAAGGAAGAAGGCUUUCGGGUUGUAAACUUCUUUUGUCAGGGACGAAAAAAAUGACGGUACCUGACGAAUAAGCCACGGCUAACUACGUGCCAGCAGCCGCGGUAAUACGUAGGUGGCAAGCGUUAUCCGGAUUUACUGGGUGUAAAGGGCGUGUAGGCGGGAAAGCAAGUCAGAUGUGAAAACUAUGGGCUCAACCCAUAGCCUGCAUUUGAAACUGUUUUUCUUGAGUACUGGAGAGGCAGAUGGAAUUCCUAGUGUGGCGGUGAAAUGCGUAGAUAUUAGGAGGAACACCAGUGGCGAAGGCGAUCUGCUGGACAGCAACUGACGCUGAGGCGCGAAAGCGUGGGGAGCAAACAGGAUUAGAUACCCUUGUAGUCC